ACUGCUGCUCGUCAUAUGCUGCCGGUACCACCGCUGAUGCUCAUCCUAUGCUGUGUUUCGCUAAGAAAUAAUGCAUACACCGCUGAUGUUACAUUGUUUUCAAAGUUAAACCCAGUUUUCAUUUCUAAAGUAUUGGCAAGACUGAAUCAAGGAACAGUGUCCAAGUCGUCCACUACUAAACCCCCUGAUGUACAACUAGAGAAUGUGACUAUUGUGAGACCAGCAAAAGAGACACAUGUGGAAGUUGUACAGCUGCCCACGACAUUUCCAGCAGAGCACAACCCGAAAACUAUAGACCUAGAGCAAGAUGGACAUACCAGAUCACUUGAUGAAAGCCUGAAUCCUGAACGGAUUACAGCACCAGCUGAUGAAAAGGGGAGCAUGUCUGAGCAGAAAAUCUACACCGUGAGUCUUCCGCCUGAUGACUAUGCAUCAGCUGUUCUAAUGGAUGUCAAGUCUUCCCCAACAGAAGAGUCUGAUCUUAGUGAUGAUGCACAAGCGCACCCAGUGGAGAAACGUAGAAGACGCAGACGGAAGAGGAAAGUGAAUGUUAUGACUCAGUGUACCUCUGAUGUUGCCAACAGUUUGCAGCAAUCAAAGCAUCAGCCCCAGUCAUUUGAACGUGUGGCUAUCAAUAAAAACAAAAGAAGGAAAUUGCAGCGAAAGAGACAGAAAGAAAGGCUGAAGGCUGCAGGCCUAUGGACGAAAGCUAAAGCUGGAGCAGGCCAAGCGCAAACUGAUGAAGUUAAGCAUUGUGAUGAACAGACAGAGGAAGAAAUACAGAGCAAAACAAAGGACUUGCUAGAUUUCCUUCAAGCAACUCAAGAGAUUUAUUUCACUGAGGGCAAAUCUACAUGUGCAGAGUCUGUUUUUUCCCCUGAGCUGAUUGAGGAGAUUCUGGACCAGAUCAAGAAUGGCACAACUCCUCUCUCUGACCUCCAGAGCUUGCAUCAUCUCAAGAGACUUCUUCUCCUACAGGAUAUUGAAAGAUUAAAAUAUGCAUUGCACAGCUUCAAAGAACAUUCCUCUAUGCCUCUCGCAACUACUAUCAAAAGUUUUAUGUGAACAUGGUUUUGUGCUACCGACGAAUUACCCCUGGAUACAUCAGAUUAUUGCAGAUCCAGACUGCCAGGAAAAUAAUGGUAAACGGAACGGACACAUUUAUGGGGCGAGCAGCGUUUUUGUGUGGUGUUG
Pseudophryne corroboree (corroboree frog) is the source of this 1194-nucleotide RNA transcript. It is a transcript of the gene named glutamate rich 1, with no coding region annotated. The record is from RefSeq and is a predicted model, not a curated record. Lineage: Eukaryota; Metazoa; Chordata; Amphibia; Anura; Myobatrachidae. The transcript is spliced from 9 exons.